This 231-nucleotide ribosomal RNA is filed under the name uncultured bacterium. Its description in RNAcentral is "partial 16S ribosomal RNA". It matches the Rfam family "Bacterial small subunit ribosomal RNA", at positions 29 to 239 of the family's 1533-position model. The record is from RNAcentral.
AACGAACGCUGGCGGCGUGCCUAACACAUGCAAGUCGUGCGAGAAAGCGGGGGCGAACCCUGUGAGUAAAGCGGCGCACGGGUGAGUAACACGUAGGUAACCUGCCUCCGAGAUCGGGAGUAACCCUACCGAAGGAAGGCGUAAUACCGGAUAAGACCACAGGGCGUCUGGCCCUGAGGUCAAAGAUGGCCUCUGCUUGCAAGCUAUCACUUGGAGAUGGGCCUGCGUACC